AGGAAUCAUAAACUGAAAGCACAAAAAAGAUGCUUUCCAUUUUUUACUCAAUUUUGGCGCAAGUUUUAAAAUUGGUUGCAGAUACGACGAACAUGAGGUUAGUGCCUGUAAUCACAGGCUCUAUUUAUAUAUCUUAAUAUCGAAUCUAUCAGUUUUAUAUUAAGUAGUAGAUUUGAGUUGUUUCCGGUUUUCACUAAAAUAAUUAAUUACAUGGAAUAAAAUGAUGGGAUUAAUAUUAUUUUUUGUUAUAUCAUUUUAGUGGAAAAUAAAUAAAUUAUAAGUUGUUUGGUAUAUCCCUAGGCGAAGCCUAGCUCACACCAUAGAGAUAAUUAGAAAAUGUAGUUGUUGGAUCAUUGGGAAGGGUCAAAAGGUUAACAUUUGGGAAGAUAACUCGAUACCCUCGUAGUGUAGGUUUAAAAGUACUAACACAAAAGAAAAUAUGCUAAACAAUACUUUUAUAGCCAUAGACAGAACUUGCAUCAACGAUAUCCUUUUAAACAACUUCAAUGAAGAGGAUUGUCUUGGCUGGCAUCCUAGCAAAGAUGGGAUGUAUACGGUUAAAUCAGGGUAUCAUAGCAUAAUGGAGUGGAAGAACAGACAGAAGGAGGAGAGCUCCAACAAAGAGGUGGAAAAAGAAGUUUGGAAGAAGGUGUGGAAUAGCAAUGUCCCACCUAGGAAACAAUUUAUCCUAUGGAGAUUGUUUUUUAACUUGUUGCCACUUAAAAGCAACCUCAGUAAAAGAAACAUUCCUACAGACUACCUAGGUCUUAGAUGCAAGGAAACGAUUAAAACAUUGGAUCAUUGUUUCAUGGAACGUUGGUGGCUUAUAGGCAAAAUGGAUAGUAAGAUGUCUGGAACAUGUUGUGUGACUUCUUGAUGUGUGUGCUAGACAGGUUGAAUUCUCAUGCACUCCAGGUUUGUUCAAGUCCAAUUUUUUGUUAUAGUUGCUUUGAAAGAAAGAUUUGGAUUAAUUAAGAAGAUUUGGAAGAUUGGAUUUGCAUUGAAGAAGAAACCUACUCAUAUGAUAAUGAAGAUUGGGUUAAUUUUGUUUCAUCAGGAGUUAUUCUAGCUUUCUGUUCUGAUGUUCUAGCUUCAAUCUUGAUGUUUUGGCUUUCUGUUCAAUAUAUUUGCUCAGGGUUGUUGUUGAUAGUUUCUACUCCUGAUUUUUGUAUGAUCUUGUCUGACAAGUUCACUGACUAUGUUCAUGGCUAAUACUGACCAAGUUACUGCUAAUUACGCUAAUGGAGCUUUGUCAAAUUGUGGCAAAAAGGGAGAGUAAUGGUGUGUAAGGGUGGUAUGUUCAAAAUAACUAUCUACUGACUUUGUGGUGUAUGAGUAUUGUUGAUAUGUUGUUGACUGGUGUACUUAGUACCAACUGGUGUGUUUGGUACUAACUAUUCUGAUCUGGUGUGUGCUUACAUAUUGGAGCAUCUAGCAUGACCUUUGGCCCUUGUGUGAUCUAAUAUAUGUGUUAGUAGUAUUUGUUGAUUCUAACUUGACUACUAAUUGUGUGUUCAUGCAUGACUAACUUUGUGGUUGCAUGACUGACUAUUAUGGAGCAUUGAUUGUAUGUAGCAACCUCGUGAUUUCUGACUUACGCUACUGAUGUGUUUUCUCCUCUUGUUGAUGUGUGCUCUGCUUGAUUUGUACUUUUGUUUCUACUAAUGUUUGUUUUAAGUAUGGGUUGUUUAUGAUACUCAUUUGUGUUAUGUCUUGAAGAGUUAUUUUGCUAAAAAAAUCAAACGGGGAGAUUGUUGUUCCUUUUGUAUUUGUUGUAUUAUGCAAAACAAUCUGGAGUGUUCAAGUUGUUUUGGCACAUAAGGGAUACAUGUGGGACGAGAUAUUCCAACAUGUGUGCGGCAUCUGGCCCUUAUUCAGCGGGACAACGUUAUUGCAUUUUGGAGCGAUUUUCUAGUUGUUUCAAUCAAAUUUAUUGCAGAUUUGUUGUUAUCUUUUAGCAAUGCAUUUAUGUUGAUUUGUUUGUUUAUAUUUGACGUAAUUCAUUCGAUUUUAAUUAGAAAUUUGAAUUUGAAUUAGAAUCAUAACAAAUCAUAUCUUUUGUAUAUUUUUGGGGAAAAAAUAAAUCACAACCAACUCUUCUUUAAUUCUGGACGAGAUCAAAGUUACCCAUGGCCAUUGGAAAAAUCUCAGAAGAAACAUUAUUAUUUAAGGAUACUUAAACCUCACGUUUGAGGGUGUGCAUGUAUUGAAGAUUCGUGUGUUAGGGUUUAUCCUUGGAGUAUUUGUUUUUGUUGUUAAUUUUGCACCACUCUAUUGAUUCAUCCAUAUCUAAAGGCAUAGAGUUUGGUGUGUUUAGUUGAGUUAUAAUUCAAUAUUCUCUAAGUUAUUUAUUGAAGUGUGUCACUUGGGAUUAGUGAUUAAAAAAAGUGAGAAUGGUUCUCAUAUUUAAUGGGGUACCUAAAUAGAAAGUCACUAGGAUUAGGAAGAUACAUUGAACAUCAUGGGAUUGAUGUUCCUAUAAGACUAAUUGUACUAAUUCAAGAUAGUGGAUUUUAUUUCUUGGGUAAAAUUCCCCCCACACGUAGGUGUGGUUUCACCGAACUGCAUUAACAAUAAUUUGUGUUCUUCAUUGCUUUAAUUGUUAUUUGAUAUGUAUCUUGAAAAUUAGUUUUUUCUGGUAUACAAUGUCCCAUAAAUCAUGUCUAACAUUUGUCCCCAAAAUCAGUCAUUUGUCUUAAACUAGUUGUACACAUUUUCACAGGCAUCUGGUCCAACAUUUAUCCAUGCCUGAAUAGAAGUUGAGGGCUACAGCUUGCAACUGAUAUAUAUUAUGCUUAUAUUAUGGACAAUGUAACUGUUUGUUACUUUUGUUAUCCCAUGAUAAGUGAUUAUCACCAAAGAAUUGAAAGUUUCCACUAGUGAUUUUUCUUUCUAUUUUAUCUCUAACAUAGUCAACAUCACAAAAUAUAACUAGAUUGUAAUCAUUUAUUUUUUUAUAAA
RNAcentral lists this long non-coding RNA (2961 nucleotides) under Lathyrus oleraceus (garden pea). RNAcentral's name for it is "Pisum sativum (pea) long non-coding RNA (PSAT_LNC022537)". Lineage: Eukaryota; Viridiplantae; Streptophyta; Magnoliopsida; Fabales; Fabaceae. The record is from RNAcentral.